Molecule: ribosomal RNA, 1406 nt
Filed under: uncultured bacterium
Lineage: Bacteria
Description: 16S ribosomal RNA
Rfam family: Bacterial small subunit ribosomal RNA
Source: RNAcentral
AGAGUUUGAUCCUGGCUCAGGAUGAACGCUGGCAGCGUGGAUAAGGCAUGCAAGUCGAACGAUUUAUUGGGAUUUAUCGCAAGAUAACUUUUUAUAAAUAGUGGCAAACGGGUUAGUAACGCGUAGGGAAUCUGCCCAGAAGUAGGGAAUAAUCCGCCGAAAGGCGGACUAAUACUCUAUGGUCCCGCCUCUUUUUUAGAGGUGUGGUAAAGAUUUAUCGCUUCUGGAAGACCCUGCGUCCUAUCAGCUUGUUGGUGAGGUAAUGGCUCACCAAGGCUAUGACGGGUAGGGGGAUUGAGAGAUUGACCCCCAACAUUGGGACUGAGACACUGCCCAGACACCUACGGGUGGCUGCAGUCGAGAAUCUUCGGCAAUGGGCGAAAGCCUGACCGAGCGACGCUGCGUGCAGGAAGAAGGCCUUCGGGUUGUAAACUGCUGUUCUUAGGGAAGAACUUUGACGGUACCUAAGCAGAAAGGAGCACCUAACUCUGUGCCAGCAGGUGCGGUAAUACAGAGGCUCCGAGCGUUAUCCGGAUUUAUUGGGCGUAAAGCGUCCGCAGGUGGAAUGGUAAGUCUGUUGUUAAAUACUAGGGCUCAACCCUAGUGCCGCAGCAGAUACUGUCAUUCUCGAGGUAGGUAGAGGUUAAGGGAACUUAUGGUGAAGCGGUGAAAUGCGUUGAUAUCAUAGGGAACACCAAUAGCGAAGGCACUUAACUGGUCCUAUCCUGACACUCAUGGACGACAGCGUGGGGAGCGAAGCGGAUUAGAUACCCGCGUAGUCCACGCCGUAAACGAUGAUGACUAGGCAUUGGGAGAAUCGACCCUCUCAGUGUCGAAGCUAACGCGUUAAGUCAUCCGCCUGGGUAGUACGGCCGCAAGGCUAAAACUCAAAGGAAUAGACGGGAGCCCGCACAAGCGGUGGAGCGUGUGGUUUAUAAUUCGAUGGUAAGCGAAGAACCUUACCAGGUCUAGAAAUUCGGCUGCACACCCCAAGAAACUGGGGAGCCUUCGAGGGUGCCGAACAGGUGCUGCAUGGUUGUCGUCAGCUCGUGGUGUGAACUGUUCCCUUCAGUGGGGUAACGAGCGCAACCCUUGUCGUGUGUUACUUUUCACGCGAGACUGCCGUGGUUAACACGGGGGAAGGCGGGGAUGACGUCAAAUCAGCAUGGUCCUCUGACGACCUGGGCUACACACGCGCUACAAUGGUUGGGACAACGAGUUAUUUUUGCCACUGCGUAAGCAGGAGCUAAUCUUUCAAACCCAAUCUCAGUCCGGAUUGAGGGCUGCAACUCGCCCUCAUGAAGCUGGAAUCGCUAGUAACCGCGGAUCAGCUACGCCGCGGUGAAUACGUUCUCGGGCUUUGUACUCACCGCCCGUCAACUCAGAAGAGCUGACAAUACCCGAAG